GGAGGGUAUAGCUCAGUGGUAAAGUGCAUGCUUAGCAUGCACGAGGUCCUGGGUUCAAUCCCCAGUACCUCCA
Molecule: transfer RNA, 73 nt
Filed under: Vicugna pacos (alpaca)
Lineage: Eukaryota; Metazoa; Chordata; Mammalia; Artiodactyla; Camelidae
Description: tRNA-Ala (AGC) (tRNA-Ala-AGC-778-1)
Rfam family: tRNA
About the family: Transfer RNA (tRNA) molecules are approximately 80 nucleotides in length. Their secondary structure includes four short double-helical elements and three loops (D, anti-codon, and T loops).
Source: RNAcentral